This 2397-nucleotide long non-coding RNA is filed under the name Oryza sativa Indica Group (long-grained rice). RNAcentral describes it as "lncRNA OsZS97_06G018250". Lineage: Eukaryota; Viridiplantae; Streptophyta; Magnoliopsida; Poales; Poaceae. The record is from RNAcentral.
UCGAUUCCGGAAGAAGUCGAUUCCGACGACGGAGUAGAAGAAGUCGAUUCCGGCGGACGGAGCAGAAGAAGUCUACGGCACCUUGCGAAUCAUCUUUGGCAUAAGAAGUACUACUCAUUUGCAGAUAACAUGGCACCUAGCAAUUUGAUUACUGCAUUAACACCAAAGAACGAUAGGUGGAGAAUCAAAGUAAAAGUUAUUAGGCUAUGGGAUGCGGUUAAUCCUACAAUGGUUGAUGAGUUCUAUGGUAUACAGAUGAUUGUACUAGAUGCAGAGGGCAACUCAAUACAUGUCUCUAUCUCAAAGCAAUUGGCGAACCACUUCAGGCCAAAAAUUAAGAUUAACUCAAUAUAUACUUUUAAAAAUUUCAAAGUUAUGGAACAUGAUAAAUACCGUGUCCUAACAAACAAUCUGAAAAUCCUUUUUUAUCAUGAUACCAUAGUAAAAGAGACCUGUUUGUAUUUAGAUGUGAUUGGCUUACUUAGCGGGAUGAAGCCGAUCGAGCAAAGAAUGCUAGGAAAAAACACAAGCAGGGAGAGGGUUUGUAACAUGCGUGAAAUUGAACUCCUUUUAUUAGAGGGAGAAAAAGUUAAAAUUACUCUAUGGGGAGAUAUUUUAGCAAAUAUGGUUGACGACGAUUUGCUUGGGAAGCAAACUGUGUUCAUCGCCACUGGACUUCUGGUUUUGCCCACAAUGAUUGAAGUGGACGCAAGCACUCAAGGAACCAUUGAAGAGCAAAUGUUCUACAAUAGAAAGACAUUGAAAGAAAUAACAGAAUUGCGAUAUAGUAAUAUACAACAGAAGGAAUUUAUAUGCACAGUCAAAGCUAAAAUUGAGGAGAUUAAAUCAAGAAAUUGGUGGUAUAUGUCUUGCGAUAAGUGCUUUUGUGGAACAAGAAAGGAAUCAAAUGUAUACAUUUGCAAUUCAUGCAGAAAGGAAGCAGUGAACCCAAAACCACGGUAUGUAAUAAACCUUGAGAUAAGUGACCACACUACUAGGACGACAUGUACAAUAUUUAAUGAGGACGCAGAAAGAAUAUUUGGUCAUAAGUCUGUGUCCACCAUGCUGGAGGAACAGAAUGGACAAAUUGAUAUGAUUCCUGAUACAAUACGUCAGAUAUGUGGAAGAAUAUUGAUAUUCAGAUUGAAGUUGACUAAAAGGAAUUUAGAAGAGUGUAAGGAAGACUACAAAGUGAACUACACUUUUACACCUAAUGAAAAGCUUGAGAUGAAUUAUGUAAAUGACAAGGCAGAAGAGGUAAAAGAAGAGCCAAAAAAUGAAAGUAGUGAUGAUUAUGAAAUGAACAAUCAUCGCAAAACAAAGAAAGAGAGAUCAAACAUGAGAUCUACAAAAAGAUCAAACAAGGAACCAUACAUUACCGAUUCUGAUGGGAAAACAAAUGAAAAGGCAAUCACAAUCGAUGAUGAUUCCGAAGAAUCACUUGAUGAUUAUUUUGAUGAAGAAUACAAUAAAAAGGUUACCCAGGAGAGUACAAAGACAAAUCCUUCUAAAAGAAGAGUUACAAGACGCUUUAAAAUAGCUAACAAGUCAAUGUUGAAGUGCAAUGAUGAUUAUGGCUUCACUGAUUUGCAAAAAUCAGAAGAUGAGUUUGGGCAGCACAAUUUUCAGGUAAAAGAAGAGCCAAAAAAUGAAAGUAGUGAUGAUUAUGAAAUGAACAAUCAUCGCAAAACAAAGAAAGAGAGAUCAAACGUGAGAUGUACAAAAAGAUCAAACAAGGAACCAUACAUUACCGAUUUUGAUGGGAAAACAAAUGAAAAGGCAAUUACAAUCGAUGAUGAUUGUGAAGAAUCACUUGAUGAUUAUUUUGAUGAAGAAUACAAUGAAAAGGUUACACAGGAGAGUACAAAGACGAAUCCUUCUAAAAGAAGAGUUACAAGACGUUUUAAAACAUCUAACAAGGCUAAGAAAGGAAAAUGUUCUGAAAUGAAAACUCAGAGAAAUAAGGAACCAUAUACUACUGAUUGUGAGAAGAUAGCAAAUGACAAACCAAUUUCGCUUGAUGAUGAUUUUGAUGAAGAAUAUAAUAAAAAUAUGGUAAGGGGAAAAGGUUGUGGAAAGAAGAGUACAAAUAUGGGAACUUGCACAAAAAGUGCAAUUGAAAAUACAAUUCAAGAUGAUGAAGUGCAUGACGGAAAAAUUGCUUCAGGAACUGCUAAAAGACCAUCAAGGAAAUUUAUAAUUUCAGAUAGUGAGGAUGAGCACAGCAGUAAUACAAAGGUGACUGGGGACAGCACCAGCUGUAAUAGUAGUAAGGAAGAUAUAAACAAAGGUCGAUGCAAUUAUAAUAUUGAGAACAUUAAAGUAAUUUAUUGUCAAGAAGGCCCAAAAGAACCAAUUAAAAGGAGGGUUCAGCCAAUACUUUUUAUUGAAGAAUAG